RNAcentral lists this long non-coding RNA (1211 nucleotides) under Helianthus annuus (common sunflower). RNAcentral's name for it is "hypothetical non coding rna". Lineage: Eukaryota; Viridiplantae; Streptophyta; Magnoliopsida; Asterales; Asteraceae. The record is from RNAcentral.
UAGGGUUUCUGCAACUUUAUUCGCACCUAUCCUUCUCAUCCAAUCGCAUCCAUUCGCACUUCAUUCUGCCGAUGUCUUCCAAAACCUAAUGGAUCCUUCAGUCGUUCAAUCUGUCGUUCCAUCCAAGCCUAUAAAAUCCAAUGUUCCAUCAGGUUAAUCUAUUCAGGUACGAUUCCUUAUUUUCCUCACAAAACCUAAUCCAAAAAAUUAUCCUCUGUCUGAAAUGGCGCUGCCAAAAUCUUAUCAAGAUGGAUUGAGAUUGCUUAGCGAACAAAACCUAAUUCAGAGCUAUGGAAGAUCUCUGAUUUUUCUAGCAGGUUCAUAACCUACCAGAACCACUGUGGCAUAAAUUGAAUGCAUCACAUUUCUCUACUCCACACUAUCUCAAAACUUGAAUCUCGAUUACUUGGUUCAACACUACGGCUGGUUGGGAAGUUCAUUUUGUAGCAAUUUGUGUGAUCCGUGACCCAUGUCCUUCUCUGAAUGGGAGCACUUGUAUAAGAGUUGAGGGACUACUUGAACAGCGAGAUGGAAUUGAAAUUGUUGGAUUGGAUAAAACAGCAACGCAAUUAGGUCACGUUACGCACACCAUUCAAUUUUGCUAUAGAGAUCCCUGUAUUCUAGCUAAUGGGAGCUUUUUACAUGGAUAAUAAACCUAUCCUUAAAGAGUUAAAGUUGAUAGAAAAGUUUGCAUUUUUAUGGAAAAUUGCUUUGGUUAACUUUCUUCAUAAAAUGAGCAAGGGGAAGAGUUGUUUUUUUGUCAAUAGCAAAGAGAUUGUUGAUUUAUGCUAGUUUUUAAUAUGACACAAAAUCCAUCAAGGUCAGGAUCAUGACCGGAGAAACAAGAACCUACAAGUGGAUGUCAAAUAAGUAACAAUACAUAGGCCUAAUCCACCUAAAAAUCAACCUAAUUCAAUCAGUCUAGACGGAGAGAAACGCCAGGAUUUCCAAAAAGGUUAAGAGAUCGACCAAUGUUAUUGUGGAAGAGAUUGUCGCGAGAUCUUUUGGCUGGAUAAAGAACAGAUGCUAGCAGUCUAAUCUAAUAUCUGUUGGGAUAUUUGUGUCAAGCCGUCUUUUUCUGUAUAUCAGCUUGCUAGGCCUUGUGGUUUAAUAUAGUUAUUUUGUUUGCUGGAAAAAAACAAGACUAGAGAGGUAGAUGUUUUUUAUUACUUUUAUCUUUGACUUAAAAGGAGCAACACUAAAAGGUCUUU